AUGGAGUCAAAGGUAAAGACCAACCCCAAGGUAUGUACUAACGGUUUAAUCACACCUGUAGAACAAGGUUCUAAGAGUUCCCGGAGUCUACUUUCCUCCUUCAGAUAUUACCAACGUUUUGAUUACUCAAUAAUCAGCAAUAUUCUCAAGAGAAACUCAUCCGUGCAUAGCAUCGCGUAA
This is a non-coding RNA of Vicia faba (fava bean), 180 nucleotides long. The record is from the annotation of a GenBank genome assembly. Lineage: Eukaryota; Viridiplantae; Streptophyta; Magnoliopsida; Fabales; Fabaceae.